GCUGUACGAUUAUAGCUACAAAGAGUUGAAGUUAUUGUUUAAAGUAAAAUACAGCUGAAGUUAAUAAAUUAAAGUUUUACAAAAUCUCUCUUCAGACUCGCGCCAGUCGCGCGUUCUCCAAACCUCGACGGCUCAUAUUUUUCGUUCUGCCUUUUAUCCUGUUUUGCCCCCCCUCCCAGUGAAAAUUCCUUAAUAAAGGCACUGCAUGAUAUUCUAGUAAGAAGUGUAUGCAGCA
This is a non-coding RNA of Paramuricea clavata, 235 nucleotides long. NCBI's taxonomy places the organism in Eukaryota, Metazoa, Cnidaria, Anthozoa, Malacalcyonacea, Plexauridae. The record is from the annotation of a GenBank genome assembly.